Molecule: long non-coding RNA, 554 nt
Organism: Dermochelys coriacea (leatherback sea turtle)
Lineage: Eukaryota; Metazoa; Chordata; Testudines; Dermochelyidae
Exons: 4
Source: RefSeq, a predicted model, not a curated record
CUGAUGGAGGGACUGUGCUACCCUUGGGUGAUCUGGAUCCAGUGCAGUCUCCCGAAUUUCCAGAGAACGCUGCAGAGGAGCAACUGCCUGUAAUAAAGGAGUUGAGACUGUGACUAGAGCAGAAUCUAGAGCCACAGGAACAGGGAAACCUCAGAAAGAAGAUGCUUUCUCUUAACUGUCUGUGCCAGAAAAUCUAAAGUCUGAGGGAAGAUUUGUUAGAAGAAACUAGCUUAAGAAAUGCUCCUGGAAAUGAUUUCCAUUUUCUACUGGAAAAUGAACAACUUGAAAGAAGUACCCCAUUGUUUCACAUAUUCUUUGAAGUUUUGGUGUGAAAUUGGCAAAAGCUGAUGAAAUGGCACAGAAGGUGCCAGGAUGUUGAGCAACAGUAAAUUUUCUCCUUUCAAUGACCUGCAAUGAGUUUCAUAUCAGCAGACAUCUGCAUCUAGGCAGAACUUACCCACAGAGAGUUCACUGAAGGAUCAGGGCCAAAGAGAUCACUUUAGAUUUUCUUGGUCAUUUUCCUUGGGGAUAAAGUGAAGAUGCUUACCUUGAAU